UACGGGAGGCAGCAGUGGGGAAUAUUGCACAAUGGGCGCAAGNCUGAUGCAGCAACGCCGCGUGGAGGAAGACGGUUUUCGGAUUGNAAACUCCUGUUCUUAGUGACAGAANAAGUGACGGUAGCUAAGGAGCAAGCCACGGCUAACUACGUGCCAGCAGCCGCGGUAAU
RNAcentral lists this ribosomal RNA (170 nucleotides) under uncultured rumen bacterium. RNAcentral describes it as "partial 16S ribosomal RNA". It matches the Rfam family "Bacterial small subunit ribosomal RNA", at positions 340 to 524 of the family's 1533-position model. The record is from RNAcentral.